GGACAGACAUAGGCUGCAGAAGAAGAAGAAGAAGUCACCGAAAGCAGAUGGCAGUACUUUUGCCACUCUGGUUUACCAGUUUGCUUCCCCCUUCGUGUACGCAACUCUGCGCUCCGCACUCACUGGUGUUACACGGCUUCCUGUACUCAUCCACUGUGGUGCUCAGGGCCACAGCACGAAGUAAUAACACCUGAUGAUGGGCAUGUAAAAGCUCAAAACUGGUCAGUUUUAACCACUGAAAAAUAAAGGGAACUUUACAAUGGAAUUGGUGUUUUCAACCUCUGCUAUGUUUAUUUGUUUUGUUAUCAGAAUGGGACAAAAUCCCUGUUUUAACCACAAAUCCAUAUUUGUGAUUUAGGUGGUCAAAAACUUUUGGCCUGUAGUGUAGCUCCUCAGUUGCCCAUUGGCCUCAUGAGGCAGAGUGCACCCCGUAUUAGUCCUUCCAUCAAGAAAAAAAUCCCUGGCAGUACUGGGAUUUGAACCUGGGUCCCCCUCAUUGCAGUCAGCCAAGCUGAUCAUUCAGCCAUGGACUCAGAUUAUCUUAGAAUAGUCUUCAGUGAACUGAAAAAGUAACUGGUUUGCGUGGCUUUUUGAUAACUGUGUGCAUCAUUUUGUUUCACUAGGUACUUCGACGAAAGGUGGUACAGCUCGAAAUAUCUUACACAUUUAACAAACAUAGAAAUGUUGGAAAAUUUUGAACCCACUUAUUUUCUUGCAUACAAUUCCUUGUAGCUUUGAUCUGCCAUUUAUGAAGUUAAGAUCUGAAAGUUGAAAAAAAUCCUUACAUGAGCUUUAAAUGUGUGAUAAUUUUAGAUAAUGCUUAUAUUUAUAAUUAUGUAGUCUAAUUUAAAUGGAUGGUCCAAAGAAUUAGAAUCUACAAGACACACACACACACACACACACACACACACACACACACACACACACACACACACACAAAGAUUGAAUUAUUAAAAAAUUUUGGAGCCAGUGGCUCCUUCUUCUGGCAGAAGAGUUGAAAGGGAAGGAAGGGGGAUGAAGGAAACGAACUAGAGUGGUUUAGGGAAGAGAGUAGUUCAGAAAAGUCAACCUAGACAUUGGGUCAGGGGAGACUUACUGGACAGGAUGACAAGGAAAGACAUUGUUGGGGAAUACACUCAUCUGGUGCAGUCACCAACAGUCUCUUUCCUUCUAAUACCGUCCAGUAACUCUCCCCUGACCCAUGGUUCUGGCUGACUUUUCUGAACUGUACCCCAUACCGUAAGCCUCUCCAGUCCUUUUCCUUCACCCCUCUUCCUUCCCUUUCACCUCUUCUGCCAGUAGGAGGAACCACUGACUGUGAAAGCUUGUAAUAGUUAAACCCUUUUGUGUGUGUGUGUGUGUGUGUUCAGCUGAAAGUGCUGCCAGUGAAUUUUUAAAAAAAAUAUUAACAGAUGAUUCUAGGCAAACAGAUUGUCAAUGUUAACAAGAUUAUGCCUUAACAAACAUGGUCUAGAGCAAUACAUAUGAAAUUAAAAUGUAUGUUCUGUGCUAAAAAAUUUGGAAGCCACUUCAAAAAUGUAGGAAACACUAUUGAAAAAAUUAUUUCCUGGUUUUUAAUAGGCUUUGUCAGUUAAAUAAAGUGAGCAUUUUGUUAAUGUAAUUGUAUGUAAUUAGAAUCUUACAAUAUAAAUAAAGUUCAGCAGCUGGAUUUCAUUUUGUAUUACUGAAUUUCACAUGUCAGGUAGUCUUAUUUACCUUUUCUCCAUUUGCAUGUAUCAUCUCAUACCAACAAAAGCUUUUCUACAUGUACUCCACUUUUUCUGUAAUUAUGUAGUAUGAAUAGUGAAGAAGGCCCAACAUUUUAUGUUUGUGUCUGAAAAAUUUCCAAUAGCUGUUCAAAGGAAUACAGUCAUAGCUGCAAAUUUAAAUAUCAGUUAUUGCUGUAUGCAGUAAUUCAGUAAGUAUUAUCAAAUGUUUACCAUGCCUUUGUAGUAAGUGCUGUACAUUGGUAAUGACUAGAAAAGCAACUACACCACAAUGACUUUUUGGACAUCCAUGUUUUUCCUAAGUAUGUAGAAUCUUUUCAUUAAAAUGAAAUCAGACCGCAUUAAAAUAGCAUGUACAACUUUGAUUAAUUACAUUAAUCUAUGAGGAAGACUCUUUACA
Molecule: long non-coding RNA, 2127 nt
Organism: Schistocerca piceifrons (Central American locust)
Lineage: Eukaryota; Metazoa; Arthropoda; Insecta; Orthoptera; Acrididae
Exons: 3
Source: RefSeq, a predicted model, not a curated record